GAUGAACGCUGGCGGCGUGCCUAAUACAUGCAAGUCGAGCGAACAGACGAGGAGCUUGCUCCUCUGACGUUAGCGGCGGACGGGUGAGUAACACGUGGAUAACCUACCUAUAAGACUGGGAUAACUUCGGGAAACCGGAGCUAAUACCGGAUAAUAUAUUGAACCGCAUGGUUCAAUAGUGAAAGACGGUUUAGCUGUCACUUAUAGAUGGAUCCGCGCCGCAUUAGCUAGUUGGUAAGGUAACGGCUUACCAAGGCGACGAUGCGUAGCCGACCUGAGAGGGUGAUCGGCCACACUGGAACUGAGACACGGUCCAGACUCCUACGGGAGGCAGCAGUAGGGAAUCUUCCGCAAUGGGCGAAAGCCUGACGGAGCAACGCCGCGUGAGUGAUGAAGGUCUUCGGAUCGUAAAACUCUGUUAUUAGGGAAGAACAAAUGUGUAAGUAACUAUGCACGUCUUGACGGUACCUAAUCAGAAAGCCACGGCUAACUACGUG
Molecule: ribosomal RNA, 497 nt
Filed under: uncultured bacterium
Lineage: Bacteria
Description: partial 16S ribosomal RNA
Rfam family: Bacterial small subunit ribosomal RNA
Source: RNAcentral